CCAAGGAGUUUAGCGUGUGCGCGAGUCAUUGGGUGACAAACCUAAAGGCGGAAUGAAAGUAAAGGGGGCUUUGCCCCUGAGGGAGGAUGGGCGGUCGCCGUCUCACGGCUACGCCCCGCACUCCCGGGGCGUCUCUUUCUCGAUUCGAGUGGAGGCGCACCUAUAGCGCACACGCUGAUACCCGAAAGAUGGUGAACUAUGCCUGGCCAGGACGAAGCCAGGGGAAACCCUGGUGGAGGUCCGCAGCGAUUCUGACGUGCAAAUCGAUCGUCGGAGCUGGGUAUAGGGGCGAAAGACCAAUCGAACCAUCUAGUAGCUGGUUCCCUCUGAAGUUUCCCUCAGGAUAGCUUGCGCUCGGAGAGAAGAGUCUCAUCCGGUAGAGCGAAUGAUUAGAGGCCUUGGGGUCGAAACGACCUCAACCUAUUCUCAAACUCCAAAUAGAUGAGAACCCCGGCUUGCUUGAAAGUGAAGCCGCGGGAUUCGGAUCGGAGUGCCAAGUGGGCCAAUUUU
RNAcentral lists this ribosomal RNA (510 nucleotides) under Anthocorinae sp. S150. RNAcentral's name for it is "eukaryotic LSU rRNA". It matches the Rfam family "Eukaryotic large subunit ribosomal RNA", at positions 666 to 1138 of the family's 3401-position model. Lineage: Eukaryota; Metazoa; Arthropoda; Insecta; Hemiptera; Anthocoridae. The record is from RNAcentral.